CCUACGGGAGGCAGCAGUGAGGAAUAUUGGUCAAUGGACGAGAGUCUGAACCAGCCAAGUAGCGUGAAGGAUGACUGCCCUAUGGGUUGUAAACUUCUUUUAUAUGGGAAUAAAAUGUUCCACGUGUGGGAUUUUGUAUGUACCAUAUGAAUAAGGAUCGGCUAACUCCGUGCCAGCAGCCGCGGUAAUACGGAGGAUCCGAGCGUUAUCCGGAUUUAUUGGGUUUAAAGGGAGCGUAGGUGGAUUGUUAAGUCAGUUGUGAAAGUUUGCGGCUCAACCGUAAAAUUGCAGUUGAAACUGGCAGUCUUGAGUACAGUAGAGGAGAGCGGAAUUCGGGGUGUAGCGGUGAAAUGCUUAGAUAUCACGAAGAACUCCGAUUGCGAAGGCAGUUCACUGGACUGCAACUGACACUGAGGCUCGAAAGUGUGGGUAUCAAACAGGAUUAGAUACCCGGGUAGUC
This 460-nucleotide ribosomal RNA is filed under the name uncultured bacterium. Its description in RNAcentral is "partial 16S ribosomal RNA". It matches the Rfam family "Bacterial small subunit ribosomal RNA", at positions 338 to 795 of the family's 1533-position model. The record is from RNAcentral.